This is a long non-coding RNA of Sapajus apella (tufted capuchin), 1637 nucleotides long. RefSeq lists it as uncharacterized. The transcript is spliced from 2 exons. Lineage: Eukaryota; Metazoa; Chordata; Mammalia; Primates; Cebidae. The record is from RefSeq and is a predicted model, not a curated record.
CACAGACAGACCCUGUCUCCAAAACAAAAAAGCGUGAUGGAGGGGCCGCAGCCCGUGGGGGCCCACCUACCUGCCCAGCUGCCCUUGGGUGGCUGAGCUUCUCUCCCACCUACACUGUGUGGAUGGACGUGGGCCUCCCUACACCCAGAUAGAGCAGAGCCCCACAGGUAUAACAGGAAUUCCUGGGGUGUCCUGAAGCCUGGUUUAAAGUGGGGUGUGGAUCCCAUGCUCCCCUCCCUGACCCCUGACUAGGUGGUUGACUGAUCACAUUUCACCAGGGAAGGCACAUGGCCUCCUGCGUGCUCUGCCCCUCCCGCUGCCCAGCUGUGUGCUGGGCUCUGGUUACCUGGCCCUGGAAGACGGUAUGACCUCCUUUCCCCCCAGCCCUGCCCUUCCUCCCCUGUCCCCAUCAUGCUGGACUCAGAUCCCUAUUCUGGGAACCCAGGAACUACCACAGGGAUGAGCAGGAGGCCCUUCAGGUCCAGAGGGCGAAGGACUUCCCGCUUGAGCAAGAUGGCCGGUGAGUGCCCUGGCACCCAGGCCUCCGGAAGGGCCGGUCCACAUUCCACCACCUGCUUGUUGUGUUUAUUUUCUGCCGUUGUAAAGAGCAAGGUUCCAUGCUGACUUCUUAUUCUUCUAUUUAUGUAACAACGUUUUCGAGUCCCUACUAUGUGACCUGAGACAUACGUCAGUAAACACACACAGGGCCCCGCCGUCCAGAACCACUCAGCUUCCCUUCCAAGAUGCCUGCUGCGGUGCCUCUUUCCAUAGCCAUGUCUGGGACCCACCUUGCUCCCUGCCUUCCCUCUGGUCCUGGUUUCUGGAAAUCAGUCCUGACCAGUGUGGCACUUGCUCUUCUGUGGACCAGGGCAUCCUAGGGCAGCCCUUAGAUGCCGCAUUCGGAGGCAGGAAACACCUGGGACUUGAAUGCAUGCACUUACUAUUUGGUGGGCUGGUCUCUGGCCAUCCCCCGCUUCCCUCUCCCUCCCCAGCCUGGACUGACCCUUGAGGACUUCCCCCUCACUGCUGCCUUCCCAGGCUGCUCAUUGGUCACCGUGUCCUAUGGAUUUCGUGUCCCAAACAUUUCUCGAAUUGGUCCCCUUUUUUCCAUCUCCAUGGGCCUGGCCUGGCCCACCAUGUGGUCAUGGAUGACUGCAGUAGCCCCUCAUGUUCUCCCACUUCUCGUUACAAGCCAUUCUCCCCAGAGUGAUGUUUAGAAACAAUUCAAGUCAUGUCACUUUGCUGCUUAAUAUUCUUCAGUGGCUCCAUCCUUAGGAUAAAGUUCCAAUCCCAUGCCCAGGAUUCAGCCCUUGCCUACCUCCUCAGCCCCACAUCACACCUGGCCAAUUCCUCUUCAUCCUUCCGAUGCCAGCUCCAGCUCCUGUGUCACCACCUCUGAGAAGCCCUCCUGGCCCUUUCUGACACAGCCUACCGCCUAGUUCCUUUUUUAAGAAGUGUUUAUGCCAGCUGUCAUUGCAUAUUUACGUGUGUGACUUGCUCCUUGCCUGUCUCUCCUCCUUGGGGAUGGUGACUUGGCUCGGUUUGCUCGACGCUAUGUCCUCAGCAUGUAACCCAGCGCCGGCCUUCCAAUACUUGUUUGGUGAAUGAAUGAAGGAGCCAAUAAACACGUGGACACA